CUGGCAGACAGCUUAUCGAUUGGGCUCCCCUCAAAAUCGGUUAUGAGCAUUAAAGCACACCGAUGCCCAGGUCCCGGCUGCAGGAAUAAGACCCUCCAGGGUCUUGUGUGAAGCCUCGGCAUCUGCAUUGCUCAUGCUUCUGGGGAUCAUUCUCCUGAAAAUGGUGGCUCCUUUCUCCCUGUGGAGCAUCUUUCUAAGCAGUGCUCUUUUCUUCCCCCAGGACACUUUACAUCCGGCACAGGAAGCCUUCUGAUGGAGCACACCUGGCCCAUGAAAAGACAAGGGAAAGAAACGGGGCCAAAGGUCACAGUCCUCUCAUUCCAUCAUCCUCCUUCAAAUCAUCCGAAUUUCAUGGGCCCUGAAGCCAGGGCUGUUUCUUUACACCUCGAAGCCUUGGCGCCGGGCCUCAAUUCUGCCCUGUUCCUUACUGGCUAAGACAUGUUGGGAAAAUCCCUAGAGCCAGGAUCUUCAUUCCUGGUAAGCCAGACAGCCGGAAGACACACACAAAUUCUGUCCCUCUUACUUCAGCGAACAUGUCCACUUUCGUCAGCAUUACAAUUUUGGCACCAGAUGUGCUAACUGCAAUUCCACCAUACAAUGCGUAACUGGAAAUGGAGGCAACAUCUCCGAUCCUGAACAAUCGAUGCGAGAAUCCAGGAUACACAGGGCUUAUUUUUGCCUUUUCCCACUGAAACAAGGGCCAGUAUUAAAAAUGCUAUGCUAUCCUCUGUUUCGCUCCCUGCUUUUGAACGUCUCCGAUGUUUCUUCUUGAGACAGGCCCUCACUUCCGUCACCCGGGCUUUUCUACGAUAUAAUUUUCCUUGUUUGCUUUUGUCAAAUUUAGAACCUUUUAUUUCAUCUCUAGGAAACGUUGAUCCAUUAUCACAUACGUAUGGAAAUAUUAUCACACAUGCUGUGAGAUACGUUGUUUUCAUUUUCAUCAAUUCUUUAAUAAACAAAAGGUUAUAGCUGGGAUACCUUCUGAUUUCUCAAGUUUUUGUUGCAUGUUUUCUGAAACUGCCGU
This 1024-nucleotide long non-coding RNA is filed under the name Pan troglodytes (chimpanzee). RNAcentral describes it as "long non-coding RNA NONPTRT012401". The record is from RNAcentral. Lineage: Eukaryota; Metazoa; Chordata; Mammalia; Primates; Hominidae.